AGAGUCUUGUGAUGUCUUGC
Molecule: microRNA, 20 nt
Filed under: Pan troglodytes (chimpanzee)
Lineage: Eukaryota; Metazoa; Chordata; Mammalia; Primates; Hominidae
Also listed under: 2 other names
Description: ptr-miR-924
Gene: ptr-miR-924
Source: miRBase by way of RNAcentral